This 108-nucleotide ribosomal RNA is filed under the name Chinchilla lanigera (long-tailed chinchilla). The record is from RNAcentral. Lineage: Eukaryota; Metazoa; Chordata; Mammalia; Rodentia; Chinchillidae.
GUCUAUGGCCAUACCACCCUGAGCGCUCCUGAUCUUCCUGAUCUCGGAAGUGAAGCAGGGUCGAGCCUGGUUUGUACUUGGAUGGGAGAUUAACAAUUGUUAUAUCUU